CCAUGAGUCAGCUCUCUCUCUCUCUCUCUCUCUUUCUCUCGUGUCGGUCCUCCUCUCGUCCCCUGCCUCAACUCCUCGCGACGGGCGCCGUCCACCGGAAACGCCGGUGUCCGACCGGCUGUUGGGAACGUCCGUUACGAGUCCUUUUCCGUCAUUCGUGUUCCCAUGUGUGUUUUCGAACGUUCUCAACCUUGUUCCCCACCUGUUCUCCUGGUAUCAAGACAUGGGUUUUUAGGGUGUGCUUUUUAAUGUGUGGAGAGCCUAUAUGCAAUAGGGUGUGUUAUUUUCAUUGUCAAUUUAUGUGUAUGUUGGGAACGUGAAAUAGUUUUUUUGUAGAAUUUGAGAAUGUGGACUAGUUGUAACUGUCAAGGAGUUAGCUGCAUUUUAACAUAAUCAACUACACCAAUGUAUUUGGAGGUAGGGGCCAUAGAAAGCAGUUGCACAUGAAUAAAAAAAUC
Molecule: long non-coding RNA, 458 nt
Filed under: Physcomitrium patens
Lineage: Eukaryota; Viridiplantae; Streptophyta; Bryopsida; Funariales; Funariaceae
Description: long non-coding RNA (PPAT_LNC006062)
Source: RNAcentral